Molecule: long non-coding RNA, 718 nt
Organism: Galeopterus variegatus (Sunda flying lemur)
Lineage: Eukaryota; Metazoa; Chordata; Mammalia; Dermoptera; Cynocephalidae
Exons: 2
Source: RefSeq, a predicted model, not a curated record
GGGGACUUCCACUGCUGGAUGUGUGGGAAGAACUUAACAGUGAGAAGCAGUGGCAGGGCCACAUCUCUUCCGAGAAGCACAAAAAGAAGGUUUUCCACACAGAAGAUGACCAGUACUGCUGGCAGCACCACUUUCCAACAGGAUAUUUUAGUAUCUGUGAUAGGUAUAUGGAUGGUACCUGCACAGAAGGAAGCAGCUGUAAAUUUGCCCAUGGAAAUGCUGAACUUCAUGAAUGGGAAGAAAGAAGAGAUGUUCUAAAGAUGAAGCUCAACAAAGCACGAAAAGAUCACUUAAUUGCCCCAAAUGAUAAUGACUUUGGAAAAUAUAGUUUUUUGUUUAAAGAUUUAAACUAAUAUGUUGGCUUUUAUGUACGUUACCUAAUCAGAGCACUGACCAGAAAAAUUGAAGGUGUUCUAAGGCACGUAGCAGAGGAGCUGCAGAUUUUCUGCUUGUAUUGGCGUCUAUCGUUCCUCCUGAGCAGCAACCCACAGUAGGUAGGAAAAUGGGCUGUUUCACAGUUCUGGCCACGCUCUCACAGAACCAUUGGCUCCAAUGGUGAAGUGACUGCUACCCGGUUGCCAUCUGUUGAACAGACUUUUGGAUGGAUGAAGUGUGUUGGAAAAGAGGAUAAGGUUAUGUCUAGGAUGACUCAUUGAGUUGGUUCCUUCAGAUAAGAACCAUGAUGGUAAGAGAAUAAACACUGGUACUGGGAUCAGAA